This 792-nucleotide ribosomal RNA is filed under the name Staphylococcus argenteus. RNAcentral describes it as "bacterial SSU rRNA". It matches the Rfam family "Bacterial small subunit ribosomal RNA", at positions 20 to 794 of the family's 1533-position model. The record is from RNAcentral. Lineage: Bacteria; Bacillati; Bacillota; Bacilli; Caryophanales; Staphylococcaceae.
UGGCUCAGGAUGAACGCUGGCGGCGUGCCUAAUACAUGCAAGUCGAGCGAACGGACGAGAAGCUUGCUUCUCUGAUGUUAGCGGCGGACGGGUGAGUAACACGUGGAUAACCUACCUAUAAGACUGGGAUAACUUCGGGAAACCGGAGCUAAUACCGGAUAAUAUUUUGAACCGCAUGGUUCAAAAGUGAAAGACGGUCUUGCUGUCACUUAUAGAUGGAUCCGCGCUGCAUUAGCUAGUUGGUAAGGUAACGGCUUACCAAGGCAACGAUGCAUAGCCGACCUGAGAGGGUGAUCGGCCACACUGGAACUGAGACACGGUCCAGACUCCUACGGGAGGCAGCAGUAGGGAAUCUUCCGCAAUGGGCGAAAGCCUGACGGAGCAACGCCGCGUGAGUGAUGAAGGUCUUCGGAUCGUAAAACUCUGUUAUUAGGGAAGAACAUAUGUGUAAGUAACUGUGCACAUCUUGACGGUACCUAAUCAGAAAGCCACGGCUAACUACGUGCCAGCAGCCGCGGUAAUACGUAGGUGGCAAGCGUUAUCCGGAAUUAUUGGGCGUAAAGCGCGCGUAGGCGGUUUUUUAAGUCUGAUGUGAAAGCCCACGGCUCAACCGUGGAGGGUCAUUGGAAACUGGAAAACUUGAGUGCAGAAGAGGAAAGUGGAAUUCCAUGUGUAGCGGUGAAAUGCGCAGAGAUAUGGAGGAACACCAGUGGCGAAGGCGACUUUCUGGUCUGUAACUGACGCUGAUGUGCGAAAGCGUGGGGAUCAAACAGGAUUAGAUACCCUGGUAGU